This 218-nucleotide unclassified non-coding RNA is filed under the name uncultured Thelephoraceae. Its description in RNAcentral is "sequence contains ITS2". The record is from RNAcentral. Lineage: Eukaryota; Fungi; Basidiomycota; Agaricomycetes; Thelephorales; Thelephoraceae.
ACACCUCAACUCUUCAUGGUUUUCCAUGAUGAGCUUGGACUUUGGGGGUCUUGCUGGCCUGCGGUCGGCUCCUCUCAAACAAAUCAGCUUGCCAGUGUUUGGUGGGCAUCACAGGUGUGAUAACUAUCUACGCUUGUGGUCUUCCACCAGGUAACCUUCAGCAGUGGAGGUUCGCUGGAGCUCAGAUGUCUCUCCUCAGUGAGGACAGCCCUUUGAAU